RNAcentral lists this ribosomal RNA (445 nucleotides) under uncultured bacterium. RNAcentral's name for it is "partial 16S ribosomal RNA". It matches the Rfam family "Bacterial small subunit ribosomal RNA", at positions 354 to 796 of the family's 1533-position model. The record is from RNAcentral.
GUGAGGAAUAUUGGUCAAUGGGCGAGAGCCUGAACCAGCCAAGUCGCGUGAAGGAAGACGGUUCUAUGAAUUGUAAACUUCUUUUGUGCAGGAAUAAAGUGGAUUACGUGUAACCUUUUGUAUGUACUGUACGAAUAAGGAUCGGCUAACUCCGUGCCAGCAGCCGCGGUAAUACGGAGGAUCCGAGCGUUAUCCGGAUUUAUUGGGUUUAAAGGGUGCGCAGGCGGGUUGAUAAGUCAGCGGUGAAAGUUUGCAGCUUAACUGUAAAAUUGCCGUUGAAACUGUCGAUCUUGAGUGCAAAUGAGGUAAGCGGAAUGUGUUGUGUAGCGGUGAAAUGCUUAGAUAUAACACAGAACACCGAUUGCGAAGGCAGCUUACUGGGAUGCAACUGACGCUCAUGCACGAAAGCGUGGGGAUCAAACAGGAUUAGAUACCCCUGUAGUCC